AUUGAACGCUGGCGGCAUGCCUUACACAUGCAAGUCGAACGGCAGCAUGAUCUAGCUUGCUAGAUUGAUGGCGAGUGGCGAACGGGUGAGUAAUACAUCGGAACGUGCCCUGUAGUGGGGGAUAACUAGUCGAAAGAUUAGCUAAUACCGCAUACGACCUGAGGGUGAAAGUGGGGGACCGCAAGGCCUCAUGCUAUAGGAGCGGCCGAUGUCUGAUUAGCUAGUUGGUGGGGUAAAGGCCCACCAAGGCGACGAUCAGUAGCUGGUCUGAGAGGACGAUCAGCCACACUGGGACUGAGACACGGCCCAGACUCCUACGGGAGGCAGCAGUGGGGAAUUUUGGACAAUGGGGGCAACCCUUAUCCAGCAAUGCCGCGUGUGUGAAGAAGGCCUUCGGGUUGUAAAGCACUUUUGUCCGGAAAGAAAUCGCACUUACUAAUAUUAGGUGUGGAUGACGGUACCGGAAGAAUAAGGACCGGCUAACUACGUG
RNAcentral lists this ribosomal RNA (490 nucleotides) under uncultured bacterium. RNAcentral's name for it is "partial 16S ribosomal RNA". It matches the Rfam family "Bacterial small subunit ribosomal RNA", at positions 30 to 507 of the family's 1533-position model. The record is from RNAcentral.